AACGAACGCUGGCGGCAUGCCUAACACAUGCAAGUCGAACGAAGCCUUCGGGCUUAGUGGCGCACGGGUGCGUAACGCGUGGGAAUCUGCCCUUUGGUUCGGAAUAACAGUUGGAAACGACUGCUAAUACCGGAUGAUGACGAAAGUCCAAAGAUUUAUCGCCAGAGGAUGAGCCCGCGUAGGAUUAGCUAGUUGGUGUGGUAAAGGCGCACCAAGGCGACGUUCCUUAGCUGGUCUGAGAGGAUGAUCAGCCACACUGGGACUGAGACACGGCCCAGACUCCUACGGGAGGCAGCAGUGGGGAAUAUUGGACAAUGGGCGAAAGCCUGAUCCAGCAAUGCCGCGUGAGUGAUGAAGGCCCUAGGGUUGUAAAGCUCUUUUACCCGGGAUGAUUAUGACAGUACCGGGAGAAUAAGCCCCGGCUAACUCCGUGCCAGCCGCCGCCGUAA
Molecule: ribosomal RNA, 449 nt
Filed under: uncultured bacterium
Lineage: Bacteria
Description: partial 16S ribosomal RNA
Rfam family: Bacterial small subunit ribosomal RNA
Source: RNAcentral